CUUGCCUCCGGGGGGCCGCCGUGCGGCCUCUUGGUCCCUGGGCGGUCGCCUGACCCAGCCAAGUAGCGUGAAGGAUGAAGGUUCUAUGGAUUGUAAACUUCUUUUAUAAAGGAAUAAAGUGAGGCACGUGUGCCUUUUUGUAUGUACUUUAUGAAUAAGGAUCGGCUAACUCCGUGCCAGCAGCCGCGGUAAUACGGAGGAUCCGAGCGUUAUCCGGAUUUAUUGGGUUUAAAGGGAGCGUAGAUGGGUUGUUAAGUCAGUUGUGAAAGUUUGCGGCUCAACCGUAAAAUUGCAAUUGAUACUGG
Molecule: ribosomal RNA, 305 nt
Filed under: uncultured bacterium
Lineage: Bacteria
Description: bacterial SSU rRNA
Rfam family: Bacterial small subunit ribosomal RNA
Source: RNAcentral